Molecule: ribosomal RNA, 1430 nt
Filed under: Enterobacter sp.
Lineage: Bacteria; Pseudomonadati; Pseudomonadota; Gammaproteobacteria; Enterobacterales; Enterobacteriaceae
Description: bacterial SSU rRNA
Rfam family: Bacterial small subunit ribosomal RNA
Source: RNAcentral
AGGCCUAACACAUGCAAGUCGAACGGUAGCACAGAGAGCUUGCUCUCGGGUGACGAGUGGCGGACGGGUGAGUAAUAGAGUCUGGGAAACUGCCUGAUGGAGGGGGAUAACUACUGGAAACGGUAGCUAAUACCGCAUAACGUCGCAAGACCAAAGAGGGGGACCUUCGGGCCUCUUGCCAUCAGAUGUGCCCAGAUGGGAUUAGCUAGUAGGUGGGGUAACGGCUCACCUAGGCCACGAUCCCUAGCUGGUCUGAGAGGAUGACCAGCCACACUGGAACUGAGACACGGUCCCAACUCCCACGGGAGGCAGCAGUGGGGAAUAUUGUACAAUGGGCGCCAGCCUGAUGCAGCCAUGCCGCGUGUAUGAAGAAGGCCUUCGGGUUGUAAAGUACUUUCUGCGGGGAGGAAGGUGUUGUGGUUAAUAACCACCGGGAUUGACGUUACCCGAAGAAGAAGCACCGGCUAACUCCGUGCCGGGGGCCGCGGUAAUACGGAGGGUGCCUGCGUUUAUCGGAAUUUCUGGGCGUAGAGCCCACGCUUGGGGUGUGCCCAGUCCAAUGUGAAAGCCCUUGGCCCUUCCGGGGAACUGCCUUCGGAACUGGCAAGUCGAAGUAUCUUCGAGAGGCGUGGAAUUCCGGGGGCAGCGGCCAAAUGGGCAUAGAUUUGGGGGGGUACCCGCGGGGAAUGUGCCCCCUGGGCACAGACUGUUUCUCACGUGAGAAAGCGUGGGGGUCCAACGGGGCUACAUACCCCGGCGGUACCCCCCCAGAACGCUAUGCAUUUCGAGGUUACGCCCCUAAGGCCACGCCCCUCGAGAAGACUCGAUAAAACCAGUUCCUAGGGGAGUCCGCCGGCAGGGUUAAACCUCAAAGGAUUUGACGGGGCCCGCCCCAAGCGGUGGAGCAUGCGGCUGAAUUCGAUGCAACGGGAAGAACCUUCCCUGUUCUUGACAUCCCCAGAACUUAGCAGAGAUGCUUUGGUGCCUUCGGGAACUGUGAGACAGGUGCUGCAUGGCUGUCGUCAGCUCGUGUUGUGAAAUGUUGGGUUAAGUCCCGCAACGAGCGCAACCCUUAUCCUUUGUUGCCAGCGGUCCGGCCGGGAACUCAAAGGAGACUGCCAGUGAUAAACUGGAGGAAGGUGGGGAUGACGUCAAGUCAUCAUGGCCCUUACGACCAGGGCUACACACGUGCUACAAUGGCGCAUACAAAGAGAAGCGACCUCGCGAGAGCAAGCGGACCUCAUAAAGUGCGUCGUAGUCCGGAUUGGAGUCUGCAACUCGACUCCAUGAAGUCGGAAUCGCUAGUAAUCGUAGAUCAGAAUGUUACGGUGAAUACGUUCCCGGGCCUUGUACACACCGCCCGUCACACCAUGGGAGUGGGUUGCAAAAGAAGUAGGUAGCUUAACCUUCGGGAGGGCGCUUACCACUUU